GUGGGGAAUCUUAGACAAUGGGGGCAACCCUGAUCUAGCCAUGCCGCGUGAGUGAUGAAGGCCUUAGGGUUGUAAAGCUCUUUCAGCUGGGAAGAUAAUGACGGUACCAGCAGAAGAAGCCCCGGCUAACUCCGUGCCAGCAGCCGCGGUAAUACGGAGGGGGCUAGCGUUGUUCGGAAUUACUGGGCGUAAAGCGCACGUAGGCGGAUUGGAAAGUUGGGGGUGAAAUCCCGGGGCUCAACCCCGGAACUGCCUCCAAAACUACCAGUCUUGAGGUCGAGAGAGGUGAGUGGAAUUCCGAGUGUAGAGGUGAAAUUCGUAGAUAUUCGGAGGAACACCAGUGGCGAAGGCGGCUCACUGGCUCGAUACUGACGCUGAGGUGCGAAAGCGUGGGGAGCAAACAGGAUUAGAAACCCCUGUAGUCC
This 425-nucleotide ribosomal RNA is filed under the name uncultured bacterium. RNAcentral's name for it is "partial 16S ribosomal RNA". It matches the Rfam family "Bacterial small subunit ribosomal RNA", at positions 354 to 796 of the family's 1533-position model. The record is from RNAcentral.